GCUUGUUGGUGAGGUAAUGGCUCACCAAGGCGACGACGGGUAGCCGGCCUGAGAGGGCGACCGGCCACACUGGGACUGAGACACGGCCCAGACUCCUACGGGAGGCAGCAGUGGGGAAUAUUGCACAAUGGGCGAAAGCCUGAUGCAGCGACGCCGCGUGAGGGAUGACGGCCUUCGGGUUGUAAACCUCUUUCAGCAGGGAAGAAGCGAAAGUGACGGUACCUGCAGAAGAAGCGCCGGCUAACUACGCGCCAGCAGCCGCGGUAAUACGUAGGGCGCAAGCGUUGUCCGGAAUUAUUGGGCGUAAAGAGCUCGUAGGCGGUCUGUCGCGCCGGAUGUGAAAGCCCGGGGCUUAACCCCGGGUCUGCAUUCGAUACGGGCAGACUAGAGUGUGGUAGGGGAGAUCGGAAUUCCUGGUGUAGCGGUGAAAUGCGCAGAUAUCAGGAGGAACACCGGUGGCGAAGGCGGAUCUCUGGGCCAUUACUGACGCUGAGGAGCGAAAGCGUGGGGAGCGAACAGGAUUAGAUACCCUGGUAGUCCACGCCGUAAACGGUGGGAACUAGGUGUUGGCGACAUUCCACGUCGUCGGUGCCGCAGCUAACGCAUUAAGUUCCCCGCCUGGGGAGUACGG
This 631-nucleotide ribosomal RNA is filed under the name uncultured bacterium. RNAcentral's name for it is "bacterial SSU rRNA". It matches the Rfam family "Bacterial small subunit ribosomal RNA", at positions 244 to 885 of the family's 1533-position model. The record is from RNAcentral.